Psammomys obesus (fat sand rat) is the source of this 107-nucleotide small nuclear RNA. NCBI's taxonomy places the organism in Eukaryota, Metazoa, Chordata, Mammalia, Rodentia, Muridae. The record is from RefSeq and is a predicted model, not a curated record.
GUGCAUGCUUCGGCAGCACAUAUACUAAAAUUGGAACGGUACAGAGAAGAUUAGCAUGGCCCCUACGCAAGGAUGAUAUGCAAAUUCAUGAAGCAUUCCAUAUUAAA